AGACGGCUAUACGGUCGCGGGGCGCGAAAGCGCCAUGAGGAAAGUCCGAGCAUCGCAGGGCAGGACGCCUGCUAACGGCAGGUGAAGGCGACUUCAAGGAAAGUGCAACAGAAAUAAACCGCCGCUUUUUUCAGCGGUAAGGAUGGAAAGGCGAGGUAAGAGCUCACCGUCGGGACGGUAACGCCCCGAGCCAUGUAAACCCCGUCCGAUGCAAGAUUGGGAUAUCCCCACACAGGGCUGCCCGUCCGGGGAUAUCCGUGAAUAUCGCUUGAGCCCGCCGGUGACGGCGGGCGUAGAUAGAUGACCGUACACGACAGAACUCGGCUUACAGGCCGUCUCG
This 340-nucleotide RNase P RNA is filed under the name chicken gut metagenome. RNAcentral describes it as "Bacterial RNase P class A". It matches the Rfam family "Bacterial RNase P class A". From Rfam's summary of the family: Ribonuclease P (RNase P) is a ubiquitous endoribonuclease, found in archaea, bacteria and eukarya as well as chloroplasts and mitochondria. The record is from RNAcentral.